RNAcentral lists this ribosomal RNA (280 nucleotides) under uncultured Staphylococcus sp. Its description in RNAcentral is "partial 16S ribosomal RNA". It matches the Rfam family "Bacterial small subunit ribosomal RNA", at positions 524 to 802 of the family's 1533-position model. Lineage: Bacteria; Bacillati; Bacillota; Bacilli; Caryophanales; Staphylococcaceae. The record is from RNAcentral.
UACGUAGGUGGCAAGCGUUAUCCGGAAUUAUUGGGCGUAAAGCGCGCGUAGGCGGUUUUUUAAGUCUGAUGUGAAAGCCCACGGCUCAACCGUGGAGGGUCAUUGGAAACUGGAAAACUUGAGUGCAGAAGAGGAAAGUGGAAUUCCAUGUGUAGCGGUGAAAUGCGCAGAGAUAUGGAGGAACACCAGUGGCGAAGGCGACUUUCUGUGUCUGUAACUGACGCUGAUGUGCGAAAGCGUGGGGAUCAAACAGGAUUAGAUACCCUGGUAGUNCAGGGCG